This 1233-nucleotide ribosomal RNA is filed under the name metagenome. Its description in RNAcentral is "bacterial LSU rRNA". It matches the Rfam family "Bacterial large subunit ribosomal RNA", at positions 1564 to 2808 of the family's 2925-position model. The record is from RNAcentral.
UGAAUACGAGAUGCUACGGCGUUGAAGCAGUGUAUGUCAGACUUCCAAGAAAAGCUCGCAAUGUCAUAAAUAAAGAAUGCCUGUACCAUAACCGACACAGGUGGGUAGGUAGAGUAUACUAAGGGGCGCGAGAUAACUCUCUCUAAGGAACUCGGCAAAAUAACUCCGUAACUUCGGGAGAAGGAGUGCCUUCUUUAAGAAGGUUGCAAUAACAAGAUCCAAGCAACUGUUUAUCAAAAACACAGGUCUCCGCUAAGUCGUAAGACGAUGUAUGGGGGCUGACGCCUGCCCAGUGCCAGAAGGUUAAAGAAAUUGGUUAGCAUUUGCGAAGCUGAUGACUGAAGCCCUGGUGAACGGCGGCCGUAACUAUAACGGUCCUAAGGUAGCGAAAUUCCUUGUCGGGUAAGUUCCGACCCGCACGAAAGGCGUAAUGAUUUGGAUACUGUCUCGGAGAGGGACUCGGUGAAAUAGACUUGUCUGUGAAGAUGCGGACUACCUGCACCAGGACAGAAAGACCCUAUGAAGCUUUACUGUAACUUGAAAUUGAAAUUGGACUUUAUUUGCGCAGCAUAGGUGGAAGGCGUUGACUAAUCUUGUGGGAUUGGUGGAGCCAUCAGUGAGAUACCACUCCUAUAAUGUUAGAUUUCUAACUUUGAAUCAUGAUCUGGUCAAAGAACAGUUUCAGGCGGGCAGUUUGACUGGGGCGGUCGCCUCCCAAAUGGUAACGGAGGCGUACAAAGGUUUCCUCUGAACGGGUAGAAAUCGUAUCUAGAGUGUAAAGGCAUAAGGAAGCUUGACUGUGAGACCUACAAGUCGAGCAGGGACGAAAGUCGGUCUUAGUGAUCUGACGGUGCUGAGUGGAAAGGCCGUCACUCAACGGAUAAAAGUUACUCUAGGAUAACAGGCUGAUCUCCCCCAAGAGUUCACAUCGACGGGGAGGUUUGGCACCUCGAUGUCGGCUCAUCGCAUCCUGGGGCGGUAGUACGUCCCAAGGGUUGGGCUGUUCGCCCAUGAAAGCGGUACGCGAGCUGGGUUCAGAACGUCGUGAGACAGUUCGGUCCAUAUCCGGUGUAGGCGUUAGAAUAUUGAGAGGAGCCUUCUUUAGUACGAGAGGACCGAGAAGGACAUACCUCUGGUGUACCAGUUAUCGUGCCAACGGUAAACGCUGGGUAGCUAUGUAUGGAGAGGAUAACCGCUGAAAGCAUCUAAGUGGGAAGCCCACCUCAAGAUGAG